AGUGAACGCUGGCGGUAGGCCUAACACAUGCAAGUCGAACGGCAGCACAGUAAGAGCCUGCUCUUACGGGUGGCGAGUGGCGGACGGGUGAGGAAUACAUCGGAAUCUACUUUUUCGUGGGGGAUAACGUAGGGAAACUUACGCUAAUACCGCAUACGACCUACGGGUGAAAGCAGUGGAUCUUCGGACCUUUCGCGAUUGAAUGAGCCGAUGUCGGAUUAGCUAGUUGGCGGGGUAAAGGCCCACCAAGGCGACGAUCCGUAGCUGGUCUGAGAGGAUGAUCAGCCACACUGGAACUGAGACACGGUCCAGACUCCUACGGGAGGCAGCAGUGGGGAAUAUUGGACAAUGGGCGCAAGCCUGAUCCAGCCAUACCGCGUGGGUGAAGAAGGCCUUCGGGUUGUAAAGCCCUUUUGUUGGGAAAGAAAAGCAGCAGGUUAAUACCCCGCUGUUCUGACGGUACCCAAAGAAUAAGCACCGGCUAACUUCGUG
Molecule: ribosomal RNA, 492 nt
Filed under: uncultured bacterium
Lineage: Bacteria
Description: partial 16S ribosomal RNA
Rfam family: Bacterial small subunit ribosomal RNA
Source: RNAcentral